This 422-nucleotide ribosomal RNA is filed under the name uncultured Sphingobacteriales bacterium. RNAcentral describes it as "bacterial SSU rRNA". It matches the Rfam family "Bacterial small subunit ribosomal RNA", at positions 958 to 1382 of the family's 1533-position model. The record is from RNAcentral. Lineage: Bacteria; Pseudomonadati; Bacteroidota; Sphingobacteriia; Sphingobacteriales.
UACGCGAGGAACCUUACCUGGGCUUAAAUGUAGAGUGCAUUUUUAGAGAUAGAAAUUCCCUUCGGGGCUUUCUGCAAGGUGCUGCAUGGUUGUCGUCAGCUCGUGCCGUGAGGUGUCGGGUUAAGUCCCAUAACGAGCGCAACCCUUAUCGUUAGUUGCCAGCUGGUAAAGCAGGGGACUCUAGCGAAGCUGCCACCGUAAGGUGAGAGGAAGGUGGGAUGACGUCAAAUCAGCACGGCCCUUAUGUCCAGGGCUACACACGUGUUACAAUGGCCGGCACAGAGGGCAGCUACCUGGUGACAGGAUGCUAAUCUCGAAAACCGGUCUCAGUUCGGAUCGAAGUCUGCAACUCGACUUCGUGAAGCUGGAUUCGCUAGUAAUCGCGCAUCAGCCAUGGCGCGGUGAAUACGUUCCCGGGCCUU